Molecule: long non-coding RNA, 771 nt
Organism: Homo sapiens (human)
Lineage: Eukaryota; Metazoa; Chordata; Mammalia; Primates; Hominidae
Source: Ensembl
GAUUCCCCCUCUCAUAUCUUCUACCCUCCAGGCCAAUCUAUAUGUGUCCUCUGCAGAAUGGAAAGAUUUAAAAACAGCUACUCCAUCUUGCUGUACAACCUUAGCCAAGGCAUGUAACCUCUGUCUCUGUUCCCUUGCCCAUGUGAAAUUGUUGUAAGGAUAAUGAUAAAGAAGAGGAAGUCAACAGUGGCUAACAUUUAUCCCUUGCUCACAAUGAACCAGACACCAAGCUAUGUGACUUUACCUGAAUGGUCUCAAUCAGUCUUCACACAAGCCUGCAAGAUGUGACUUGCUCCUUCUUGCCUUCCGCCAUGAUUGUGAGGCCUCCCCAGCCAUGUGGAACUGUCAGUCAAUUAAACCUCUUUCCUUUAUAAUCACCCAGUCUCAGGCAUCUUAAUAACCUCUAAGUUGCACCCAGGAGAGUUGGUGCAGAAAAGGAAUUCUGGCCAACCUAAUUUGUAUUUGAAAAUACCCCAUAGGCCAACGGAACAAGAUUCAGAUGAAUUUCACAGGCAGCUGAGGGCUACACAAGGAAAAUAAUGAUGUGAACUCAUACUUAUCAGCUAUCUGAUACCCUGAGCCAGACCCCGGUGUAUUCCUCACAACACCCCAAAAGUUCUGGAGAUGAGAAGUCCAAAAUGAGUCUUAAGAGGAUAAAAUCAAAGUAUUGACAGGGCUAGUUCCUUCUGAAGGUUCCAUGGCAGAAUCCAUUCCUUGCCUCUUCCAGAUUCUAGAAGCUGCAGGCAUUUCUGAGCUUGGACUGCAUCAUUC